Non-coding RNA from Pantherophis guttatus, 4080 nucleotides. The record is from RefSeq and is a predicted model, not a curated record. Lineage: Eukaryota; Metazoa; Chordata; Lepidosauria; Squamata; Colubridae.
UUUUGUCUGGUUUGGGAAAAAAAAAAAGUGGGGGGUGUUGGCGCCUUCCCUCCUCUCUCCCCCCUCCCCUCUGCAGGAACCCGAGGAAGACAAGAGACCGAGGUUUCCCCGCCGCCAAAUGGAGGCGCAGAAAGAGAACAUGCCGCGACGAGACCGCACCGAGGAGGAGAACGCGGAAGCCAGCGAGGCCUCGACUUUCUGUCAGAGUAAGCAGUGCUGCAAAUUUGAUCUUCAAGAAGAAAAUAAUACAAAAUCUAAUUCAAGUGAUUUCAGCGAUCCAAUCUACAAAGAGAUUUCUCUGACAAAUGGUUACAUCAAUAGAAUGACUAGAGAUGAGCUGAGAGCUAAACUUGCUGAAUUCAGACUUGACACCAGAGGAGUAAAAGACGUAUUAAAGAAGAGGCUGAAAAAUUACUAUAAGAAAGAAAAAUUAAUGCACAAGCAACCUCCAAAUGCAGAAGACUACUACAAUUAUAUCUGUGUUAUUGACUUUGAAGCAACUUGUGAAGAAAAAAAUCAGCCUGAAUUUACACAUGAAAUAAUCGAAUUUCCUAUUGUUUUACUAAAUACUCAGACAUUACAAAUAGAAGACACUUUCCAGCAAUAUGUGAAACCAGAGAUUAAUCCUCAACUCUCAGAUUUCUGCAUUAAUUUGACAGGAAUCUCUCAGGAACUGGUAGAGAAAGCUGAUGAAUUCCCAAAAGUUCUGCAACGUGUUGUAGACUGGAUGAAACAGAAAGAACUAGGAAGCAAAUACAGCUAUUCCAUAUUAACAGAUGGGUCCUGGGAUAUGAGUAAAUUUUUAAAUAUCCAGUGUCAUAUUAGUCGUCUGAAGUAUCCUUCUUUUGCUAAGAAGUGGAUUAAUAUCCGCAAAUCCUAUGGAAACUUCUACAAGGUUCCUAGAUGCCAAACAAAGCUGUCAACCAUGUUGGAAAAACUUGGGAUGGACUAUGAUGGACGGCCUCACAGUGGGCUGGAUGAUUCCAAGAACAUUGCAAGAAUAGCCAUUCGAAUGCUUCAGGAUGGAUGUGAACUCCGUGUAAAUGAGAGGCUGCACGGCGGGUAUCUGCUAGCAGUCCCUUCCUCGACUCCAAUAGAGGGCGCUCCAAUCCCACAGAUGCCGAGGUUUCGAUAAAUAUUAGGAAUCUGAGCUGUAACAGAAUGUGUUGACAUUGAAGACACAGGAAAAUGAAUAAGAGAUGACAAAUUGAAUUCUGCAACAGAUUUGCCCCAGUCCUGCAACAGUCCUGCAACAGAUUCGCCCCAGUCUGUAGAUCCACGACUGGCUGUUGAUGUGCUAUGCAGAGGGUAGCAGAGAUGAAGGAACCAGCCAACCACUUUGCCAGCAGACUCUGCAACCUCAAAAACUGUCUCAGUACAGCCUACAAUUGUCCUCACACAGAAGAAAACUUGGACUGAGGCACCCAACUCUCCCUUGCCCUGACCAAUAAGGAAGUACAAGAAAUGGGUCCCUCCUGGCCUCAUCCUGUGUCUGCUUUUGGAGCUAGGAAGGAUGGGAGUCCAUAAGCGGAGCUUUGAUAGAAAUCUGGCUAAUGAAAAAACCAUUUGCACACAAUCUCACAAUCAUCAAAAACCUCACUUUUAAGACUUUGGAUUCAGCUGCCAAAAGUUAUGUAUUUUUAUGCAUUACAGAAUUUUGAAUCUGCCAACAUCUUUCUCUUUAUUUAUUUAUUUAUUUUUCAAAUUUAUAUUUAACACUUUAAAAAAAAAUGUUUUUAAUAGCUUUGUUAUUGUUCUUUUAAUUUUGAGGCCAAACAUAUAUAUAUAUCUUUUUAAAUUGGUUUUAAUGUUUGUAUUUAUGUUUUUACUUUGGCUGUACACCGCCCUGAGUCCUUCGGGAGAAGGGCGGUAUAUAAAUUUGAAAAAUAAAUAAAUAAACAUCUUUCUCUUAAUGCAUGGAUGCUGCCAUUUUGGAUAUUCUAAAUAUAGGCCCAAUUUUAAAAGGCACUUUAAAAAGACAGUGGCUAAGUAAAGCAAAACAGAAUGAUCACAAUUGUGUUGUAGGACAUUUCUGUUCAUUCCCAUCUCAAAAUCAUCUUACGCAUAGCCCUACCUCUCUAGGCUUUAAGAUUUAAUUCUUGAAAUCUUCACUACAUAAUAUAUCCUCACUUAUAAGAUUAUUCUUUGUAUGCUUGGUAGAGUAAGAAUAAAAAUGGCUUUAUCUCUCAACCAAGAAAUUGGAUAUUUAGACAGUCAGAAAGUAUAGGACAAAGCAGGUAAGGAAAGGAUAGUGAACAGAAGUAUUUGUAUAAGGGGUCAAAAAAAGUCCAGUUAGUACUUCCAUCCAAAUUACUGAAGCCCACACCCUUUUUUUUUACAUGCACAUCAGAAAGGGCAAGGCUUUGAUUGUAUAGCUGUGGCUGCCAUCUUGACUUUUUUUAAAGUCUCCCUGAAGAUUCCCUGAUAGUGGAUAGAGAUUGAUGUGGCUACAGAUGUUUAUUUUUCAUUAAAUUCUGGGAGGAUAAAAUGAUAAUAAAGGAAAGAGAAGGGUAGAGAGAUUGCAUAGAUCAAUGGAAAUUCUGAUGUAUGAAGGAAUAAAGGAAAAUAAGACAUUUUUGAAAGAACAAGACACCAGGUUAGCAGAAGAGGGGAGACUACCUUUGGGAACGGGGCUUAGGUGAGAGAAAGAUGUACAAAAAAGGCAACAGCAAGACAUUUGUAUUAGAAACAGGAGGGAAUGGGAAGACAGGAAAGGAAUUUUUAAAGAGCCAUUGCUUGCUAUAAACAUCAUGAGAGAAGUUAAUGUUUUUGCUAAUGGAGUUCUCUACAGAGACAAGAAGAUUUAAAGAGCCAAAAAUAAUAGCUACUGACCAUGCUAGUUGAGGAUUAUGGGAGUUGUAUAUCAACCCAUUUGAAGAGGAUUAUGGCAGGAAAAGCUGCAUUUGAAAUAUUAUUACUUUUCUCUGAGUUUUUUUCUACUUGCUAUAAAUCCUUCUUAAUACCAUGUUCGAAAUUAGGAUUGACAACAACUGUUACCCAGGAUGCUUUUAUCCACGGCCAUCCGCUAAAACGAAAGAAGCUACCGAGGAAUGCCAAAUGCUGCCCUUCGCAAAGAGAAUCGGUUACCAUGGUCUCCAGAUUAUGUUGUUAAAUAACCGGCAGGCCAACGCUAAUCCUUCAUAGACCCCCAUCUAAAAUUGGGUUGUGCCUUUUUCUUUGGCUCUUUAACUGCAUGAGCUGAAGGCCAACGGAGUUAAGAGUAAGAUUACCACUGCAUGCCAAAGCCACAUGUUGGGAUGCCACGUGCCUGCUCUCAUUUUCACUGGAUUAGGUUACUCUAAAUUGCAACAACCGUUUGCCCUCAGUUGCCUCUGCUGAGCAGGACUGUCCAAACAUCACAGUUCAGGUUCAAUUCUUAUAAUUACUGUGAAAUGACCCAGGGCUCCCCACCCUCAUCUCAUUUAGGGGUGAAACAGAACUAUGUAGUGUAAUAGAACAGCCCUGUGAUAUUACUCGCCUUUAGACCUGGCAAUCAAAAUCAAGGAAACAGAAAUAGAAAUCACUUUAAUAGGAACUCUUGUCUGCAGGCUAAAUGCAUGAGCAGAAAUAGCAUCAGAGAGGAAAACCUGGAAGAUGCUUCUUUCCAAAUAUGGAUUGGAUUCUUUUUUCUGAGCCAGAUAAAGUUAAAGAUGCUUCUUCUAGCAGACAAAACAUUCUAUCAUUCGUUUCCUAUAAGGUAUAAGAGAAUGAAUGCUCAAAUGUAAUUUCUUGGGGACUGGUGCGUACUUGGAAAAAGCUCUGUUGUCUUAAAAAUGGGGGAGAGGGGACAGAAGAAUGCCAGAUUUUUAUUUACAGAAAGAAAAAGCAAUAAAGGAUGUAUUCAGGUGAAUGGUGUAUCAUGUAAGGGACAUAUGCCAUGCAAGUAUUGUUGCCAGACCACUUGAUUUAGUAUAUUCCAGUGCAAGUUGGAGUCCAGAAAUGUUAACAUUUACCCCAGGGCCUAAAUGACAUAGCAAUAACACUGGCUCCCAUUGUAAUAGGGGAAUCAAUGUUCCAUUUACUAAAAAUGUUGGUUCACUCUCCACACUCUCUAUUAAAUGACACCCUGGUUAGCUCUGA